AAGCCCCAACUCGAACCCGACUCCACAAACCUAACCAGUGGCUGCCGCCGUCACCCCCGUUCUCGAUCCACAAUCCUACCGCCGGCCUCGCGCUCCACUCCGUCGUCAAGCGUCGUGUCAGAGCUAGCAUUCCCCCGCCCCAGAGCUCCACCCCGACAUGCAUCCACCCAUCCUUGCGCUCCACCCCUCCCCCCCCCCCCCCGAGCUCCAUCCCGAGACCAAGCCGCCGUCCUCGGGCCGCCCCCUCGACAUCCAGUUGUUGUCCUUGCCAAUCCCCAUCCCUGCUGCUGCCAAGGCCCCAUCUCCCGGCUCCCGCUGAUGCCGCACCUGCUAUUGCCGAGGCUCCAUCUUUGGGCCCUUCGAGCUACGCCCCUCUUGAAGCCAGCCAUCGCCGUGCCCUGAGUGUUAUACAGGUGGAUAGUUGUUCAACAAAAUGAUAUCUGAACUUCAAGCUGGUACCAUAAAAAAAUUUACUUCGGUGUUCUGAAGUUUAUCAAUAAAGUGUAAUAUAUUUGACCAUUAGCGACACCCUUCACCAUAAGGCAUAGAUGUACCAAUGAUGUUAUUUCUUGAAGCCAAUUUGAAAUUUUGUAUCUCUUGUGAGUAGCAAGUAGACUGCUCAGGUUGAUCUUAUUUGUAUAUCUUGGAAUUGUUUCCUGGUUGAUAUAUUGGAAGAGCAUUGUUAGUCCAGAAUUAAUCAGUAUAAUUCAGUUUGGUUCAGUUCAGGACAUAUUAAGUAUGCUUUAGAACAAAUAAUCAAAAUUAUCUGUUAUGAAGAACAUAUUAGGCUUGUGUUUUCAAUCUCCCUGUACUUCUAUGGUUCCAAAUCUUCUCCUAUAGUUUUAUUGUCUUAACUGCUUGUAGAACUGUACUGCAAGUUAGUUUAUUAUUGAAGAAAAAAUCAUUUAUUAUGAUGUUGUCAGCUUGUGCUUAAUUUUGUGAUUGCUAAAGGCAAGGAAAAGAGAUGGUGCAGAAGGAGCUUCAGCAGGCAUGAUGGUUCGUUAACCACAAUGUCGCAAGGCCAUCCCCAUGGCUUGGUAACACUAUUUCAGGUUUGCCUCUCGCUCCCUACCCAGCCACCCUGUAGUGGAUGUUAUUAUUUUGGUUACUCCAUGGACUGAUUGGUUGCUGUUGUGGUUACUCCAUGGACUAAUAUGACCUUCAGCGAAACCAUUACUUUUACAAAAUUGCCUACCUUUGUUCUAGCAUAUUAAAUUUUAUCAGCAUGCUCGAGUGCCUAAACAUUGUUCUGUCGGAACAUUAUUUUUGUUUCUGCCGUCAUGAUAUGUGUGAAGUUUCAAAUGACUGGAGAUCUCACCAAUGGUCAUGGCUCCAAAACUUCCAUUUGUUCUAUUCAUAUGCUUAUCCUAUUUUUUAGGUAAUGGAAGAUGGUUCCUCAGUCUCUGCAUCGUUCCAUGAUUUAUAUUGCCCGGACUUUUUAUUUCUUUGUGGCUUGAUCUGGGAUCCUACUUUGUUAUACAAGCGCCUGCUAGUCAGUGCUUUGCCAUUGUUUUUAUUGGGAUCACUCUGCAUAUAAGAAUGUUUUUACAUACUGCAUUAUGCUCUAUCUACAUUGUAAUUUGACAUGUCAUCCUUGACAGUUACCUCUAUCUGUCUCAAGCUUAUAUUGUAGAAAUUAUGUUUUUGUUAAUUAUUACUAUAUAGUAUUCUUUCACUGUUUCAGAUAAAACCAGAAUGUUAUUUUUGGACUUAGUAGUUUUAGGUUAUUACAUAUAGUUGUCAUAAUUACAAUGCCCGAUGAGAAACAAAUUACUAGUUCAUUUAGUCUUGCCGACAAUAGCCGGGAACCACGACCACCAGCAUGCAGCAUGAGCAAUGGGUAGAGAAUGGAUGACUACCUCACUGGGAAACAUGGUCGCACACGUGCAGCAGAAAAUGAAUGGUGCAUGGAAAGGCCACCUCACUGGAACUAGGGCCACGACUUGUAGUGGGCAACUACUAGGCACUUAGCCAACUGGUGCACAUGGACGUGAUGACUUUGCAGUGUUUAUGGACCAACCAACCUGUAAUCAUGGGUCUUAUGUCUCUUCAAGACAAUUUGAUGUUUCAGGUAUUUUGGAGCUUGCACUCUGUGCAUGUGGAUACAUACUUGUUUGUUCUGGAGCUAGACCAUCUAGCUAAAGUCUCCCGUACCAGCAAAUAGUGCUCAUCCUUUUGUGACUUGUGUGUUCUGGAGCUAGACCAUCUAGCUGAAGUCUCUCGUACCAGUAAAUAGUGCUCAUCCUUUUGUGACUUGUGUGUUCUGGGUGAUUGUUAAGAUGGUCAAAACUAUGCUUUGUCAAGAUUGUUGUGUU
Triticum aestivum (bread wheat) is the source of this 2315-nucleotide long non-coding RNA. RefSeq lists it as uncharacterized. The transcript has 3 exons. The record is from RefSeq and is a predicted model, not a curated record. Lineage: Eukaryota; Viridiplantae; Streptophyta; Magnoliopsida; Poales; Poaceae.